This 67-nucleotide transfer RNA is filed under the name Austrodecus sp. JZ-2022. RNAcentral describes it as "tRNA-Trp". The record is from RNAcentral. Lineage: Eukaryota; Metazoa; Arthropoda; Pycnogonida; Pantopoda; Austrodecidae.
AGAUUUUAAGUUAAUAAAACUAUUAGCCUUCAAAGUUAAAAAUAAAUAAUUUUUUUUUUAAAUCUUA